Molecule: ribosomal RNA, 253 nt
Filed under: uncultured bacterium
Lineage: Bacteria
Description: partial 16S ribosomal RNA
Rfam family: Bacterial small subunit ribosomal RNA
Source: RNAcentral
UACGGAGGAUCCGAGCGUUAUCCGGAUUUAUUGGGUUUAAAGGGUGCGUAGGCGGUUUGAUAAGUUAGAGGUGAAAUGUCGGGGCUCAACCCCGAAACUGCCUCUAAUACUGUUGGACUAGAGAAUAGUUGCGGUAGGCGGAAUGUAUGGUGUAGCGGUGAAAUGCUUAGAGAUCAUACAGAACACCGAUUGCGAAAGCAGCUUACCAAACUAUAUCUGACGUUGAGGCACGAAAGCGUGGGUAGCAAACAGG